This 253-nucleotide ribosomal RNA is filed under the name uncultured bacterium. Its description in RNAcentral is "partial 16S ribosomal RNA". It matches the Rfam family "Bacterial small subunit ribosomal RNA", at positions 524 to 776 of the family's 1533-position model. The record is from RNAcentral.
UACGGAGGGCGCAAGCGUUGUUCGGAAUUACUGGGCGUAAAGCGCGUGUAGGCGGCCAGGUAAGUCGGAUGUGAAAGCCCGGGGCCCAACCCCGGAACUGCACCCGAUACUGCCCGGCCGGAGUCCCGGAGAGGAUGGCGGAAUUUCCGGUGUAGAGGUGAAAUUCGUAGAUAUCGGAAGGAACACCAGUGGCGAAGGAGGCCAUCUGGACGGUGAUUGACGUUGAGACGCGAAAGCGUGGGGAGCAAACAGG